This 328-nucleotide unclassified non-coding RNA is filed under the name soil metagenome. RNAcentral describes it as "partial contains 5.8S ribosomal RNA, internal transcribed spacer 2, and large subunit ribosomal RNA". The stretch from base 1 to 119 matches the Rfam family "5.8S ribosomal RNA", at positions 35 to 154 of the family's 154-position model. The record is from RNAcentral.
GAUGAAGAACGUAGCGAAAUGCGAUAAGUAAUGUGAAUUGCAGAAUUCAGUGAAUCAUCGAAUCUUUGAACGCACAUUGCGCCCCUCGGUAUUCCGGGGGCAUGCCUGUUCGAGCGUCAUUUCACCAAUCCAGCCUCGCUGGGUAUUGGGCGCUGCGGUCCGCCGCACGCCCCAAUUUCGCCGGCUGAGCUAUCUAUCUCUAAGCGUUGUGGCAACUCAAUCCGCUUGCGAGUAUAGAUGGUCUUGGGCCGUUAAAUACCCCACUACAGGUUGACCUCGGAUCAGGUAGGGAUACCCGCUGAACUUAAGCAUAUCAAUAAGCGGAGGA